UGUGGCAUUUCUAGAUGCUGAUUUGACAGAAUGAUUAUUGCACUGGUGUGCUUUAGGCUGGCCAAAAUAAAAGGCCACUCUAAAAUGUGCAGUUCCAUCUCACAGCACAAUGCCACAGAUGUCGCAAGUUUGGUGGGAGCAUGCAAUUGGCAUGCUGAGUGCAGGAAUGUCCAGAGCUGUUCCCUCGAGUUUGAAAGUACUUUCCAUUGGAGCUGUUUUUGAAAAACAAGAGAAAAUCCUGUUGUAAUGGAUACAUCGGUUGAGGUAGCUUGAGUUUGGGGGCAUGAUGUCAGCUCCAGGGUGAUGCCGGUGCCCAGCUGUUCGCCGUCAGCAAUCACACCUGUUCCUGGUUCACCAAUCACCCACUGCUUUUAGGAGGAGUCCUGAUGUCCCGUUCCUACCGGAUCGUUAAGGCUCAUUUGAUUACCUUCUCAUCUUUCACUCACCUGGUUACUCUCCUGGAGACACUAACACCGAAGCCAGAUCAGUCCACCACGCUGUGACCAACACCCACCUCCACGCUCUCUUGGGAUUCCAGAACCGUCGUCACCCCACCAUCCAG
This is a long non-coding RNA of Esox lucius (northern pike), 562 nucleotides long. RefSeq lists it as uncharacterized. Lineage: Eukaryota; Metazoa; Chordata; Actinopteri; Esociformes; Esocidae. The transcript has 4 exons. The record is from RefSeq and is a predicted model, not a curated record.